AUUGGAAUUAUCCUACUACUCCUAGUCAUAGCCACCGCAUUUAUAGGCUAUGUCCUACCAUGGGGUCA
This 68-nucleotide transfer RNA is filed under the name Geochelone elegans (star tortoise). RNAcentral describes it as "tRNA-Glu". The record is from RNAcentral. Lineage: Eukaryota; Metazoa; Chordata; Testudines; Testudinidae.